AACGUAGGGGGCGAGCGUUGCCCGGAUUCACUGGGCGUAAAGCGCGUGUAGGCGGUCCGUUAAGUCGAAUGUGAAAUCUCCGAGCUCAACUCGGAAAUUGCAUACGAUACUGGCGGACUUGAGGACGGUAGAGGUCGGUGGAAUGAGCGGUGUACCGGUGAAAUGGACAGAUAUCGCUCGGAACACCAGUGGCGAAGGCGGCCGACUGGGCCGAUCCUGACGCUGAGACGCGAAAGCCAGGGGAGCGAACCGG
This 253-nucleotide unclassified non-coding RNA is filed under the name uncultured Actinomycetes bacterium. RNAcentral describes it as "uncultured actinobacterium contains 16S-23S intergenic spacer region". It matches the Rfam family "Bacterial small subunit ribosomal RNA", at positions 524 to 776 of the family's 1533-position model. The record is from RNAcentral. Lineage: Bacteria; Bacillati; Actinomycetota; Actinomycetes.